AUCCCCUUCGGGGGUGACGCUUGUGGAAUGAGCGGCGGACGGGUGAGUAACACGUGGGCAACCUGCCUGUAAGACUGGGAUAACCCCGGGAAACCGGGGCUAAUACCGGAUAAUACUUUCUUUUGCAUAAAGGAAAGUUGAAAGGCGGCUUCGGCUGUCACUUACAGAUGGGCCCGCGGCGCAUUAGCUAGUUGGUGAGGUAACGGCUCACCAAGGCGACGAUGCGUAGCCGACCUGAGAGGGUGAUCGGCCACACUGGGACUGAGACACGGCCCAGACUCCUACGGGAGGCAGCAGUAGGGAAUCUUCCGCAAUGGACGAAAGUCUGACGGAGCAACGCCGCGUGAGUGAUGAAGGUUUUCGGAUCGUAAAACUCUGUUGUUAGGGAAGAACAAGUACGAUAGUAACUGAUCGUACCUUGACGGUACCUAACCAGAAAGCCACGGCUAACUACGUGCCAGCAGCCGCGGUAAUACGUAGGUGGCAAGCGUUGUCCGGAAUUAUUGGGCGUAAAGCGCUCGCAUGCGGUCCUUUAAGUCUGAUGUGAAAUCUCGCGGCUCAACCGCGAACGGUCAUUGGAAACUGGAGGACUUGAGUACAA
Molecule: ribosomal RNA, 601 nt
Filed under: Oceanobacillus sp.
Lineage: Bacteria; Bacillati; Bacillota; Bacilli; Caryophanales; Bacillaceae
Description: bacterial SSU rRNA
Rfam family: Bacterial small subunit ribosomal RNA
Source: RNAcentral